UACAGAGGUCUCGAGCGUUAGGCGGAAUCACUGGGCUUAAAGCGUGUGUAGGCGGAUCGUUAAGUACCUUGUGAAAUCCCAUGGCUCAACCAUGGAACUGCUUGGUAUACUGGCGAUCUUGUGCAACCUAGGGGCGAGCGGAACAGAUGGUGGAGCGGUGAAAUGCGUAGAUAUCAUCUGGAACGCCAAUGGUGAAAACAGCUCGCUGGGGGUUUGCAGACGCUGAGACACGAAAGCCAGGGGAGCGAACGGG
RNAcentral lists this ribosomal RNA (253 nucleotides) under uncultured bacterium. Its description in RNAcentral is "partial 16S ribosomal RNA". It matches the Rfam family "Bacterial small subunit ribosomal RNA", at positions 524 to 776 of the family's 1533-position model. The record is from RNAcentral.